Long non-coding RNA from Lolium perenne, 833 nucleotides. RefSeq lists it as uncharacterized. The record is from RefSeq and is a predicted model, not a curated record. Lineage: Eukaryota; Viridiplantae; Streptophyta; Magnoliopsida; Poales; Poaceae.
UCCUCCCCUCCACCAAGAAACCUCCUCCAACCACUCCCCCUCCCCUCUCUUUAUUCCCCUCUGGAACCCUAGCUUCCACCAACCCUAGCCUCCUCCCUCUCGCGCCGCCGCCUUCUUCUCCCUCUUUUUUUAUUCACCUCUCUGUGAGCAAACGAAACACGAGAAACCCCAUAGCAACCACCCACCUCGCCAUGGCGCCGUCACUACACACCAUCCCCCGCCGUUCUGAGGGCACCAGCGGAUCCGCCUCGUCGAGCUCUACGUCGUGGUGCAAGGAAUCGAGUCAAUACCCCGUAAAUCAAGCGCAAGGUCGCCGUUUCUCCUCCAUGGCCGCCAUGCUCCGGCGACGAUUCGGGGUGCCCUCGUCCUCCUCCGGCCGAACCGAGCACACCUCUGGCUUCCCCGUGUUCAGGCGCGUCUCCGUCGCCCUCUGCCUCGUCCCGGUUCGCCCGGAUUCAUCAGAUCGAAGGUUGACCUGCAGCCCCCUCCACCAUGACUCCGUUGACAAAGAUCCAACCCUCAGCGGCCCAAGUUCGAAUCUCUCCUGCGCCUCUUCCCUUUAUUUUUGGGGGGCUUCUUCUCUUCAUGCUGCAGCCCAUCGACUCCAGAUCCACUUCAAAAUCAUCGGCGCACCCUCACUAUCACGAUCCAAGCAAUAGCCCAGCUGAUCUGGCGCCUAUUGGGCCUUGGCCCAUUCCUCUCCCGGUGUAGACGUCGCCCGUGUGCAGCAGCCUGCUAUCCGUCGCCGUUUCGGCCAGCAUUUGCUUCUUCUCGGAUAGGAUCACGAAGUGUUGAUGUGAGAUACGACGAGUUCUCCGACAAGUUCUUCAAAU